RNAcentral lists this ribosomal RNA (467 nucleotides) under uncultured bacterium. RNAcentral describes it as "partial 16S ribosomal RNA". It matches the Rfam family "Bacterial small subunit ribosomal RNA", at positions 28 to 507 of the family's 1533-position model. The record is from RNAcentral.
GACGAACGCUGGCGGCGUGCUUAACACAUGCAAGUCGAACGGAAAGGCUCCAGCUUGCUGGAGUACUCGAGUGGCGAACGGGUGAGUAACACGUGGGUAAUCUGCCCUGCACUCUGGGAUAAGCCUUGGAAACUGGGGCUAAUACUGGAUAUGAUCUUUCUCCUUAUGGGGUUUGGUGGAAAGUUUUGCGGUGUAGGAUGAGCCCGCGGCUUAUCAGCUUGCUGGUGGGGUGAUGGCCUACCAAGGCGACGACGGGUAGCCGGCCUGAGCGGGUGAUCGGCCACAUUGGGACUGAGAUACGGCCCAGACUCCUACGGGAGGCAGCAGUGGGGAAUAUUGCACAAUGGGCGGAAGCCUGAUGCAGCGACGCCGCGUGAGGGAUGACGGCCUUCGGGUUGUAAACCUCUUUCAGCAGGGACGAAGCGUAAGUGACGGUACCUGCAGAAGAAGCACCGGCUAACUAUGUG